This 497-nucleotide ribosomal RNA is filed under the name uncultured bacterium. RNAcentral describes it as "partial 16S ribosomal RNA". It matches the Rfam family "Bacterial small subunit ribosomal RNA", at positions 28 to 507 of the family's 1533-position model. The record is from RNAcentral.
GACGAACGCUGGCGGCGUGCCUAAUACAUGCAAGUUGAGCGAUGAAGAUUGGUGCUUGCACCAAUUUGAAGAGCAGCGAACGGGUGAGUAACGCGUGGGGAAUCUGCCUUUAAGCGGGGGACAACAUUUGGAAACGAAUGCUAAUACCGCAUAAUAACUUUAAACAUAAGUUUUAAGUUUGAAAGAUGCAAUUGCAUCACUCAAAGAUGAUCCCGCGUUGUAUUAGCUAGUUGGUGAGGUAAAGGCUCACCAAGGCGAUGAUACAUAGCCGACCUGAGAGGGUGAUCGGCCACAUUGGGACUGAGACACGGCCCAAACUCCUACGGGAGGCAGCAGUAGGGAAUCUUCGGCAAUGGACGAAAGUCUGACCGAGCAACGCCGCGUGAGUGAAGAAGGUUUUCGGAUCGUAAAACUCUGUUGGUAGAGAAGAACGUUGGUGAGAGUGGAAAGCUCAUCAAGUGACGGUAACUACCCAGAAAGGGACGGCUAACUACGUG